Molecule: ribosomal RNA, 253 nt
Filed under: uncultured bacterium
Lineage: Bacteria
Description: partial 16S ribosomal RNA
Rfam family: Bacterial small subunit ribosomal RNA
Source: RNAcentral
UACGGAGGGUGCGAGCGUUGUCCGGAAUCACUGGGCGUAAAGGGCGCGUAGGCGGCGCGGGCAGUCAACGGUGAAAGCUUGGGGCUCAACCCCGAGUCGGCCGUCGAUACUCCCGGGCUGGAGCACUGUAGAGGCAGGUGGAAUUCCGGGUGUAGCGGUGGAAUGCGUAGAUAUCGGGAGGAACACCAGAGGCGAAGGCGGGUUACUGGGCUGAUACUGACGCUGAAUCACGAAAGCUAGGGGAGCAAACGGG